GGGGGGGGGUUGAUGGGUGGUGCGGCCGUGGAGGGUAUGAACCGCAGGAUUGUCUGCUCCAAGUUCCCAUAGCCGUCCCAGUGGAGCGAGAUCGGUGUUCGCAUCAUCAGGAACUCCACGUUUGCGGAGCGGGCGCGUUUCUCCGGCGAGGACGACUGCGACGCCAUGGAAUUCAUCUUCUGGGCCAUGGUGGAAGCCGAGUCGCCGGAUCCGGCCGUCGCAUGGAAGUGGCGCAAGUUCAAGGCGUCGCAGCCCAUCCGGAUCAACGUCCGUCGCCCCCGAGUGGGUGCGUUGGCGUUUCCUCCAUCGGGCGUGCAGCCUGCUGGGGUUGAACCCCCGACCCUAGAUUAAUCUCAGUCACUGCAGGUGCGUGGCAGGAAGCUAACGCUCCUCGCAUCGGCGACCGCCUUCAUCGCGUGAACCUGGAACCAUCGUGGCCAGGCGAUCGAGGUGAAGUUCCUCUUCCA
Molecule: long non-coding RNA, 467 nt
Filed under: Hordeum vulgare
Lineage: Eukaryota; Viridiplantae; Streptophyta; Magnoliopsida; Poales; Poaceae
Description: long non-coding RNA (HVUL_LNC001550)
Source: RNAcentral